RNAcentral lists this ribosomal RNA (477 nucleotides) under uncultured bacterium. Its description in RNAcentral is "partial 16S ribosomal RNA". It matches the Rfam family "Bacterial small subunit ribosomal RNA", at positions 28 to 523 of the family's 1533-position model. The record is from RNAcentral.
GACGAACGCUGGCGGCGUGCUUAACACAUGCAAGUCGAACGGUAAGGCCCUUCGGGGUACACGAGUGGCGAACGGGUGGGUACACGUGGGUGAUCUGCCCUGCACUUCGGGAUAAGCCUGGGAAACUGGGUCUAAUACCGGAUAGGACCACUGCCUGCAUGGGUGGUGGUGGAAAGCUUUUGCGGUGUGGGAUGGGCCCGCGGCCUAUCAGCUUGUUGGUGGGGUGAUGGCCUACCAAGGCGACGACGGGUAGCCGGCCUGGGAGGGUGACCGGCCACACUGGGACUGAGAUACGGCCCAGACUCCUACGGGAGGCAGCAGUGGGGAAUAUUGCACAAUGGGCGCAAGCCUGAUGCAGCGACGCCGCGUGAGGGAUGACGGCCUUCGGGUUGUAAACCUCUUUCAGCACCGACGAAGCGCAAGUGACGGUAGGUGCAGAAGAAGGACCGGCCAACUACGUGCCAGCCGCCGCAGUAA